GGAAGGAUCAUUAACGAACUGUCAAACACGGGUUGUUGCUGGCCCCCAAACGGGGCAUGUGCACACUCUGUUUACACAUCCACUCACACCUGUGCACCCUUUGUAGUUCUGUGGAUGGGGAGACGCCGUCUUCCUUCUGUGGCUCUACGUCUUUACACACACACCGUAGCAACGUCUCAUGGAAUGUUUUUUUUCGCGUUUAACGCAAUACAAUACAACUUUCAGCAACGGAUCUCUUGGCUCUCGCAUC
RNAcentral lists this unclassified non-coding RNA (250 nucleotides) under uncultured fungus. RNAcentral describes it as "sequence contains ITS1, 5.8S rRNA gene, ITS2 and 28S rRNA gene". Lineage: Eukaryota; Fungi. The record is from RNAcentral.